This 253-nucleotide ribosomal RNA is filed under the name uncultured bacterium. RNAcentral's name for it is "partial 16S ribosomal RNA". It matches the Rfam family "Bacterial small subunit ribosomal RNA", at positions 524 to 776 of the family's 1533-position model. The record is from RNAcentral.
UACGUAGGGGGCGAGCGUUGUCCGGAUUCAUUGGGCGUAAAGAGCUCGUAGGCGGCUGUUCAAGUCGAUUGUGAAAACUCGGAGCUCAACUCCGAGCCUGCGUUCGAUACUGGACGGCUAGAGUCUGGUAGGGGGACCUGGAAUUCCUGGUGUAGCGGUGGAAUGCGCAGAUAUCAGGAGGAACACCGGUGGCGAAGGCGGCAUUCUGGACCGAUAUUGACGCUGAGGAGCGAAAGCCAGGGGAGCAAACGGG